GUGCUCGCUUCGAUAGCACAUAUACUAAAAUUGGAACAAUACUGGGAAGGUGAGUAUGGUCUCUUUAAAAAAAGAACAAAAAAUCUUCUUGGUUAGGUGUAAGAAAGUUUC
Small nuclear RNA from Gorilla gorilla gorilla (western lowland gorilla), 111 nucleotides. NCBI's taxonomy places the organism in Eukaryota, Metazoa, Chordata, Mammalia, Primates, Hominidae. The record is from Ensembl.